This 515-nucleotide ribosomal RNA is filed under the name uncultured bacterium. Its description in RNAcentral is "partial 16S ribosomal RNA". It matches the Rfam family "Bacterial small subunit ribosomal RNA", at positions 28 to 523 of the family's 1533-position model. The record is from RNAcentral.
GAUGAACGCUGGCGGCGUGCCCAAUACAUGCAAGUCGAGCGAAUGGAUUAAGAGCUUGCUCUUAUGAAGUUAGCGGCGGACGGGUGAGUAACACGUGGGUAACCUGCCCAUAAGACUGGGAUAACUCCGGGAAACCGGGGCUCAUACCGGAUAACAUUUUGAACCGCAUGGUUCGAAAUUGAAAGGCGGCUUCGGCUGUCACUUAUGGAUGGACCCGCGUCGCAUUAGCUAGUUGGUGAGGUAACGGCUCACCAAGGCAACGAUGCGUAGCCGACCUGAGAGGGGGAUCGGCCACGCUGGGACUGAGACACGGCACAGACUCCUACGGGAGGCAGCAGUAGGGAAUCUUCCGCAAUGGACGAAAGUCUGACGGAGCAACGCCGCGUGAGUGAUGAAGGCUUUCGGGUCGUAAAACUCUGUUGUUAGGGAAGAACAAGUGCUAGUUGAAUAAGCUGGCACCUUGACGGUACCUAACCAGAAAGCCACGGCUAACUACGUGCCAGCCGCCGCCGUAA